UGCUCGCACACACACAGGAAAAAAUGAGAAAGCCUUGAGGGAUACCUCUUCUAGAAAAUUUUCUUGCUAUGGUUGGUACAGUGAAAUCCCCUUGGUCUCCUCUCAAAAAGUCUGUUGAAGAAGAUCAUACCUGCUUCACUGACAUGCUAUGGUGUGAAUGAAGAUGAAACACAAGAAUGGCCCUUCAGUAUCCUGGAGAUAAUGAUGUGCUUUGGAGAGUACACGUCAAGUAUAAGGAAGUCCUUCCAGGAUCAGCAUGAAGCCUUAGGACCUAAACAAACUGUGACAAAUUCCGUGGUAUUAGUGUCUGAAUGCCUAUGCUUUAAAUAGGUUGAAAGCCAUUCCUCAAGGUUGUGGCAAAAUUUCAAGAUGCAACACUGGGAGGCGAUUUGCUCUUUAUAUAGAAGCCUCAAGCCUUGGUUUUGUGUCUCAAUAAAAGAAGU
Long non-coding RNA from Mus musculus (house mouse), 443 nucleotides. RefSeq annotates it as predicted gene, 33696. Lineage: Eukaryota; Metazoa; Chordata; Mammalia; Rodentia; Muridae. The transcript is spliced from 3 exons. The record is from RefSeq and is a predicted model, not a curated record.